RNAcentral lists this long non-coding RNA (208 nucleotides) under Panax ginseng (ginseng). RNAcentral's name for it is "long non-coding RNA (PGIN_LNC017755)". Lineage: Eukaryota; Viridiplantae; Streptophyta; Magnoliopsida; Apiales; Araliaceae. The record is from RNAcentral.
GUUUAUAAUAUUAUAAUUAAUAUGCAUGGGUUUAUAAUAUUAUUAAGGAAGAUUUGAAUUGGAGCUUAUUAAGGAAGAUUUGAAUUGAAGUUCAUUAAGGAAGGUUGGUUUUCUAAGAAAUCUGUUUUGGUUUUAAAAUGUCCAUUUAUUAAGGAAACAGGUAGUAACAAAUCUUUAACAAAUCAUAUCAAUCUCCUUUAAUAAAGUU